AUUUAAUUUUCUAUGCCUUGCCUAGAGAAGCAAAUCUGUUGCAGAUUUUAGUCCAUGGUGGAUCUUUCUCAGGAAGAUCAGCUGCUAGGUUUUAGCUUUUCCUAGACUAGCUCUUGACAGAUGCAUACAUAGUGUUUGAGCAGGGUCUCCCACUCUAUCCAUAGGCAGCUUUCCUUCUGUGGACUGUUUCCUGUGUAGACAGGAAGUGUUUGAUUCUCAUGUACUGCCAUUUCUUCAUUUGUUUUUGUAGCUUCUGCUUUGGCACCAUCUUCAAAAUCCAUCAGCAACGCUGAGGUCAUUUCUGUUGUAUUUUUAUAUAAGUGAUUUACAGUUUGGGGCCUUAAUAUGUGAAUCUUGAAUCAUUUUGAGUUGGGGUUUGUGCAUGGUAUAACAUGAGGAUGCAUCUUCAUCAGUAAUUCCAUUUUAUCAAGCCCAUCUGUUACAGACCCAUCUCCCUGUGAUGGCUCUUCUUGGUUGUCCACUUGACUGUAUAUCUGAAAUGAACUAAAACUAAAAAAACUAGAGGUCACACCUUUGAGCAAUUUUUGUGCAACUUGAGAUGAGAAGAUCUACUUCAAAUCCGGAUUUUGAGGUUGGAAGACACACCUUGAAUCCAGAUAUUUAAUGCAGAUCUAAUCUGGGUCAUGCCUUCUGCUGGAAGCCUAUAUAAAGGACACAGGAUGAAAGAAACUUUUGCUCUUUGUCUUCUUGCUCUCAUCUUGCAAACAAGUCUAUUCUUCUCUGCCUUUAUAACCUACUCCUUUGGGAUUCCAUCAUAUACUCAAGACCAGCUGAGACACCCAGGCUCAUGGACUAAGUAGCUACCGGAUUCUUGGAACAUAUAUUCAUAAAUGUAAGUCCCUUUAGGCACAUGAGUGGCCAGGCCCUUCUACUAUCUAUUCAUGCCAAAUGGCAAGGAAAACUUUCCCUGACAUGGACUCCCUUUAUAAACCUUGUAAACCCUCAAGGCAGGAAAGUGGCCAGGCCCUGCCUUGGAACUCCAGCAACCCGAACCUGCCCCCAAGACAUCCCUCAAAGCACCAAGAGUCCUUUUCUAAAAGCUGUAACUGUCAUUUCCAGCCCUGAGGCAGUAGAGUGGCCAGGUCCCACC
RNAcentral lists this long non-coding RNA (1111 nucleotides) under Mus musculus (house mouse). RNAcentral describes it as "long non-coding RNA chr1:4905750-4906861". Lineage: Eukaryota; Metazoa; Chordata; Mammalia; Rodentia; Muridae. The record is from RNAcentral.